Molecule: long non-coding RNA, 1557 nt
Organism: Astatotilapia calliptera (eastern happy)
Lineage: Eukaryota; Metazoa; Chordata; Actinopteri; Cichliformes; Cichlidae
Source: Ensembl
CCACAUUUAAAGCAAAAAAGUUGCCAGUAAAUAUGUUAGAUUCGCCACUUAUAAGCAUUUGUGGAGAAUAUUUAUGGAACAUGCUCAAAUGAUUUUUUUAUGUCUCAUUACAGAAACAAAACACACAUCACAGCUUCCACAAAAUCUGCAUACUGACUGUUUACUAUUUGUUUACUCUUUGACUUCUAUGGAAACCUAAUAUGUCCUUUUAUUGUCCCUCUCACGUCUCAGUAUCUAGAUUAAAUGCAUACAUAAUACAUUAAGACCACACUGGCUUCAUUAAAGGUCAAUACAGUGGUCCCUUGUUUAUCGCGGGAGUUAUGUUCCAAAAAUAACCCGCGAUAGGUGAAAUCCACGAAGUAGCCAACUUUAUUUUUUACAAUUAUAUAAUUACAAUUAUAUAUAGAGAUGUUUUGAGGCUGUAAAACCCCUCACUACACACUUUACACACUGUUCUCAGACAGGCAUGAACUUUUUCACACUUUUCACUCUUAUUUAUAGACCCUCAAAGUUCAAACCUUUGUAGAAAAAAUAUGUCCAGUAUUACAGAAUGAAACCAAAGGCACCCGCCGUUGCCUUUGACGGUGCAAAGCAUUUCGUUGACAUUGUUGUGUUUGUUGGGGAGAAAACGUACAAACAAUUUGACAAGCUGAACGCAUUCUGUACUGUACAGAAGACCCACACAAGAUUGAUUGACAGUGGUCUACAGCCCAUCAGGACGCAGAACACAAUGCGCUGUCAAAAAAACAAAAAACAAACAAACCAAAAAAAAUAACCCCAAAAACCAUGAAAAAUUGCACACACAAAAAAUCCGUGAAUCAGCGAUGUCGCGAAAGGUGAACUGCGUUAUAGCGAGGGACCACUUUACUCCUCAAAUAAUACACUUAGACUAUUUAAUUUAAUUGCGAGAACAAUAAGUUGUUGUUACAGUGAUGGAGAAAAAGCUUUUGAUAAGGUAAACUUUGGAUUUAUUAAAUCAUUCUAUAACUUCUGCAUACCACCCCAUUAGCCACUGGCACUACGAAUGGAAUAAUCUCACAAAAUGACACACGAAACAGGGGUACUAGGCAAAGAUGCCCAUCACCAUCAGUCUUCUUUUUUCUUUUUUAAUUGAGCCACUCAUAGCGCCUAAAGUAUCUGUCAAAAUAAAAAUAUCAUCUGAAUCCCAACAUCUAAUAAUAACCUCAAGAUUAAUCUUUAUGCAGACGACAUUUGACUUUUCAUGCAAAAUCCAUAUUCAUCACUACUUGAAACAAUGAGCAUUAUCAAGGAAUUCUUAAAAAUUUCCAACCAUUCCAUAAAAUGGUCCAAAUUCUUCCACUGAUAUCUCCAUAGCGGGGAUGAGACAACGAACUAACUAUCCCUCUGUACACAAAGUAUUUGAAAAACACUAAUGUUUCUUGAAUUGGAGUCACGGACACGAUAAAAAACUGUAGCGUAACGAUGCAUGCCUGCUUGUGUUGUGAGUGUGUCUCAUGUAAAAUUCAGUGUGAGCAUCAUGGCAGAAGCCAGUGUGUGCCAUAAGUGACUAUAAAAAGCACUCACGCACAUUUAAAC